GACGAACGCUGGCGGCGUGCCUAACACAUGCAAGUCGAACGGACAGGCCCUACUCUUGUGGGGUGCAUGAGUGGCGAACGGGUGAGUAACACGCGAGUAACCUGUACUUGACAUAGGGAUAACUUCAGGAAACAGGGUAUCAUACCGGAUAGGAGCUCCUGCUGCAUGGUGGGGGUUGGAAAGUUACGGCGGUUGGGGCUGGACUGGCGGGUUAUCAGCUUGUUGGUGGGGUAGUGGCUAACCAAGGCUUGGACGGGUAGCCGGCCUGAGGGGGUGACCGGCCACACUGGGUCUUAGAGGCGGCCCAGACUCCUACGGGAGGCAACAGUGGGGAAGAUUGCAGGAUGGACGGAGGGCUGAUGCAGCAGCUCCGCGUGCGGUAUGACGGCCUUCGUAGUGAAGACCGCAUGCGUCUGUAACGGAGCGUGAGUGGCGGUAAUGGGUAAAGAAGGACCGGCUUAAUUCGUG
This 468-nucleotide ribosomal RNA is filed under the name uncultured bacterium. Its description in RNAcentral is "partial 16S ribosomal RNA". It matches the Rfam family "Bacterial small subunit ribosomal RNA", at positions 28 to 507 of the family's 1533-position model. The record is from RNAcentral.